RNAcentral lists this ribosomal RNA (498 nucleotides) under [Candida] sp. AS 2.3079. Its description in RNAcentral is "eukaryotic LSU rRNA". It matches the Rfam family "Eukaryotic large subunit ribosomal RNA", at positions 62 to 649 of the family's 3401-position model. Lineage: Eukaryota; Fungi; Ascomycota; Saccharomycetes; Saccharomycetales. The record is from RNAcentral.
AAACCAACAGGGAUUGCCCCAGUAACGGCGAGUGAAGCGGCAAAAGCUCAAAUUUGAAAGCCCCAGGGCAUUGUAAUUUGAAGGAGGGGAAAACAUCCGGUAAAGUAUUCAAGUCCGUUGGAAAACGGCGCCACAGAGGGUGAUAGCCCCGUGGAAUAUCUCCCCCCGGACUACUUUUCCCCCCCAAAGAGUCGAGUUGUUUGGGAAUGCAGCUCUAAGUGGGUGGUAAACUCCAUCUAAAGCUAAAUAUUGGCGAGAGACCGAUAGCGAACAAGUACAGUGAUGGAAAGAUGAAAAGCACUUUGAAAAGAGAGUGAAAAAGUACGUGAAAUUGUUGAAAGGGAAGGGCUUGCAAGUAGACCUUGGGCGGGCAUCGGGGAAAAGAGAAACAAAAUCACCUGGGAAUGUAACUCUCGAGUAUUAUAUCCCAGUAAGAUAUUUCUCCUCUCCCCGAGGACCGCAUUCGUAUGGAUGCCCGCGUAAUACUUGCAAGUCGCC